UCGUGGGUCCUAGCAAAUUCCCUUUUGAAUAAAAAUACGGUAUGCUACUGAAAGUAACCAUUAUGUGAUCGAUUUAAAACGCCAUUAGCAUAAAGUCUGCGUCGUCAAUAAUAUUUCUUCUAUUGGUGCUGACGUGGAAAUUGUCAUCGUGUGUACUCCAUUUCAUCAAAAUGGGUAAUGUUUUCUUUGUGGGAUUAUCAGAGAGAAUUUUUUAAAUUUUUAUUUUUUACAAAAGUCGCGUCGCCUCUAUUGCUUUAAACAGGCAUAUAUUUCCUCUUUUCAUGCCCUU
Lingula anatina is the source of this 289-nucleotide long non-coding RNA. NCBI's taxonomy places the organism in Eukaryota, Metazoa, Brachiopoda, Lingulata, Lingulida, Lingulidae. The record is from RefSeq and is a predicted model, not a curated record.